This 433-nucleotide ribosomal RNA is filed under the name uncultured bacterium. RNAcentral describes it as "partial 16S ribosomal RNA". It matches the Rfam family "Bacterial small subunit ribosomal RNA", at positions 29 to 507 of the family's 1533-position model. The record is from RNAcentral.
AACGAACGCUGGCGGCAUGCUUAACACAUGCAAGUCGAACGAGACCUUCGGGUCUAGUGGCGCACGGGUGCGUAAGGAGGGGGAACCUGCACUUAGGUUCGGAAUACCUCCCCGAGAGGGGUGCUAAUACCGGUUGAUGUCUUCGGACCAAAGAUUUAUCGCCUUUGGAUGGGCCCGCGUUGGAUUAGCUAGUUGGUAGGGUACAAGCCUACCAAGGCGACGAUGCAUAGCUGGUCUGAGAGGAUGAUCAGCCACACUGGGACUGAGGCACGGCCCAGCCUCCUACGGGAGGCAGCAGUGGGGAAUAUUGUACAAUGGGCGAAAGCCUGAUCCAGCAAUGCCGCGUGUGUGAGGAAGGCCUUAGGGUUGUAAAGCUCUUUUACCCGGGAUGAUAAUGACAGUACCGGGAGAAUAAGCUCCGGCUAACUCCGUG